Molecule: transfer-messenger RNA, 365 nt
Filed under: Rhodospira trueperi
Lineage: Bacteria; Pseudomonadati; Pseudomonadota; Alphaproteobacteria; Rhodospirillales; Rhodospirillaceae
Description: Alphaproteobacteria transfer-messenger RNA
Rfam family: Alphaproteobacteria transfer-messenger RNA
About the family: Bacterial tmRNA, also known as 10Sa RNA or SsrA, is named for its dual tRNA and mRNA-like properties. Its role is to liberate the mRNA from a stalled ribosome.
Source: Rfam by way of RNAcentral
CCCUUUGCAUCCGGCGCCGCGUCGUCCUAUAUUUCAAGGGCCGGUUCGCCGGCUAUGACGCUAAACCCUGUCUGGAAUAAGCGUUGUGGACCCGGGGGCAGUGCCCGGCGCCUCCACCAGUUCCGGCCCCGCCAGCGGCGGCGGGGCCUCUCCUGGGGGCGAAACAGGAUCGACACGCGUGGUAAAGAGGCAGGCUGUGUUCGGCAUGGCACCACCGUCAUCGGGCCAAAUGCAAUAGUUGCCAACGACAACUAUGCUCCGGAAGCCGUCGCUGCGUAAUGCAGUGCUGGUGACCGAUCUAAGCCCCGGGCGGUAGCACGUUCGGGCGGGGUUCGGGGGGCACCUGGCAACAGAAGCCCCCCACU